UCGAUCACUCCCUACACUCUAUCUCCGGAUGGGAUGUAGGGAGGACCAUCGUCAACCCUGUCUAUGAGUACUAUUGUCCGUUUCCUCGGCAGGGACGCCUGCCGCUGGAAGCCUCUUAUAAACCUUUUGCAUUAGCAUCUAUAUUCUGAUAUAACUAUAAUCUUUA
RNAcentral lists this unclassified non-coding RNA (166 nucleotides) under uncultured fungus. Its description in RNAcentral is "sequence contains ITS1, 5.8S rRNA gene". Lineage: Eukaryota; Fungi. The record is from RNAcentral.